AUGGAUGGAUGAUGGCCUAGUAAAUGAUAUUACACCAAAAUUGAUAGGCGACAGACCUAAUACAUACAUAUACACCAAGGCGUUGGCAGAAUAUGUUGUGCAGCAAGAAGGAGCAAAGCUAAAUGUUGCAAUUGUAAGGCCGUCGAUUGUUGGUGCCAGUUGGAAAGAACCUUUUCCAGGAUGGAUUGAUAACUUUAAUGGACCAAGUGGUCUCUUCAUUGCGGCAGGGAAAGGAAUUCUUCGAACAAUGCGUGCCUCCAACAAUGCCCUUGCAGAUCUCGUUCCUGUAGAUGUAGUUGUCAACACGAGCCUUGCUGCAGCCUGGUAUUCCGGAGUUAAUAGACCAAGAAACAUCAUGGUGUAUAAUUGCACAACAGGCAGCACUAAUCCUUUCCACUGGGGGGAAGUUGAAUACCAUGUAAUUUCCACUUUCAAGAGGAAUCCUCUCGAACAGGCCUUCAGACGGCCCAAUGUAAAUCUAACCUCCAAUCACCUUUUAUAUCAUUACUGGAUUGCUGUUAGCCAUAAGGCCCCAGCAUUCCUGUAUGAUAUCUACCUCAGGAUGACUGGAAGAAGCCCAAGGAUGAUGAAAACAAUCACUCGUCUUCACAAAGCCAUGGUAUUCCUUGAAUAUUUUACAAGUAACUCUUGGGUUUGGAAUACUGAUAAUGUCAAUAUGUUAAUGAACCAGCUAAACCCUGAAGAUAAAAAGACCUUUAAUAUUGAUGUACGACAGUUACAUUGGGCAGAAUAUAUAGAGAACUACUGCAUGGGGACUAAAAAAUAUGUAUUGAAUGAAGAGAUGUCGGGCCUCCCUGCAGCUAGAAAGCAUCUGAACAAGUUGCGGAAUAUCCGUUAUGGUUUCAAUACAAUCCUUGUGAUACUUAUCUGGCGCAUUUUUAUUGCAAGAUCACAAAUGGCAAGAAACAUCUGGUACUUUGUGGUUAGUCUGUGUUACAAAUUUCUGUCAUACUUCCGAGCAUCCAGCACUAUGAGAUACUGAAGACCAAGAAUUUAGCAUUAGAACAUCUAUGCAUAUGAUGAUCUAAAUGCAUAAAAUGUAAAAUGUACUUAAGUCAUCUCACCUUUCGUUAAGACAUUAAACCAUCUUAAAUUGGAGCGUGGAGUAAAUUAUGGUCCAUUUUAUGUAACAUUUUAAUGUUUAUGCUCAAAACCUAGUGAACACACUGUGGUAUGCCAGCUCAGAUCUGCAAUAGUCACUUAAACUAUGAUUCAACAUUUUAAUCCUUGGAAUGCAAAGGAUAGGAAGAGGGAAGAAGUGGGGCUAUGGGAAUAUUGACCAGUAUAACUGUGCAGUUCUGGAACAUACUAAUUAAAAUAUGCCUUAACAUGCAGUCCUAAUAUUCAGUGCAAUGGAAAAUUGCAGACAGAAGGCCUAGAUAAAUUAGUUAAGUAUUUGAUUUGAUUCUUCAAUGUUGAUUUCUUUUUUUUUUUUUUUUGAAAUCCUUUAAGAGGUGGGGUUUAGUUUUGCUAAAGACCACAGCCAUGUAUUUUUUUUUUCUUAUAAGUUACAGGUGUUAUCCUAUUCAAAGACUUGUUCUAAUUUUCUUUCUGAAUAAAUGUGUGUUGUAUAUCAUUUUCCUAUAAGUAAUUAGUCGCUCUUAUUAUCAGAAGGCCAAAUAUUAUUCUAAAGACACUAAUAGAUCUGAAUGGAUUUAAGAUUCUGUAUCAAUGUAUAUACUCUGUGCAUUUGAAGCAAAGUGAAAACAUGCACAGUAAAACUGUGUUCAUAUCAAACGAAUUGGAAACCAUUUUUUCUAGUCCACAUUUCGAUCAAAUGGAACUCUGGUGAGAUGUGUUUUCAUUUUGAAGAGGAUUUCUUGAGACUUGAUUAAAGGUGGGAUUGGGGAAGGAUUCAUUAUACUUACUCUCCCUUAAAAAUUUUCUCAUAGGACUUGCCCCAUAUGAACAUGCAUUAUUAUGAAGGAACGUAGUUGCAGCUUUUAACAUUAAGAAAAUGCCCUCACGUGUUUACCAACACGUACUAAUUUUGACCUUGAAAGCUGAAUUCCUUUAAAAAUGAAUAAUGCAUAAGUAUGUGUGUAAAAUUAAAUAAAAAGUUUUUACCAUGUAAAGUAGCAAACUGUUCAAUGAGUUUCAAGUCAUCAUUUCUUUGCAUGUUGUUUUAGCUUUAGAAAGACAUGCGUUAUAGAAACAAGUAAUAGCAAGAAACUGAUGUAUAUUUAUUAAUACAUUAUAAUUCCCUUUAAAUCUUACUAGUUUGUUACUAUUUUAUCAUAUUUUAAUGGCUUGUUCAGCAUAACACAGUUAUAAUUAAGCUGAUCAAGUUGUACUACAUUUUAAAUCAUCAGCAGUGUAUCUUGAAAGUGCUUAAAAGGUUAGUAAAUAGUACAAGAAAUAAAAUGUAACUUUACAUUUUAAUUUUUUGUCAAUUAAAAUAUAAUGUAGAAGAAGUUUAUUUUACUAUUGUGGAAAACAAAAUGUAAAGGAAACCACCUUUUUCCAUACUGGUGUAUAAUCUUGAAAAGAAAAAAAAAAAUGCUUCUGUGUUGAAGCCAAACUUUGUGUAGUAAAACUUUUAAACAUUAUUUUAAAAGAAAUAUGUAUGUAAAUAUCUGUGUAUUCUUUGGAAUGACCCUGAAGUCUCUGGUCUAGGACCAUGCCUGUGUAAGGUGUGAGAGACCAUGAUGGUGUGUGAAAAUGGAAUAAAUGAUGCCUUUGAUUUAAGGUGGCCCAUAUAAUAUACAUUGAGUACUCCAUGUCUCCAAAUGUAUUUCCAUGAUGUAAUGAAGACACACUAACCUUUUUAUGCUUUUUAUACAUCUGCCAAAAUAUACUGCGAAUCUGAUAAAUUGUCUUUGGGUCUCUGAAAAGAAUCAAGUGCAAUGUGGGCAGGCCUGUAAAGUGAACUGGAUGUGUGUCUUCUGUGUUACUGAUCUGUGAUCUAGUUUAAUGAACUGCUAACUCAGGCUGUGCUGAGGUCAAAUUAAUUGUAUGUGUUUAGAAUUCUGUUGUCAAAGGGAAGGUAAUGAAUAAAUGAUGCUCAUCCUGGAAUUUGUAUUUGAAAUUAGUAUGGGGUCAAAUGUGAGAUUGUUGAUCUUUAUCAGCUAGACUUCGGAUUCAUAUUUAAAGAGUCAUGUUUAAAGAGUCUGGAGAUGUAUUCUGUUUAUAAUUUGCUAGACAAUGUUUUUAGUUCUCAUUAUAUUUUCCAUAUAGAGUAUUCAAUAGGACAAGUCUAUAAAAUUAUUUCAUUCACCUCAUUUAUCAAAACUGUAUUCUGAACCAUUUAGGGUUUUCCCCUUAUCUUUCCUUCUCUGAACUCUGGCAUACAUAUUUGUACACUGUUAUGUCAUUGUAACUAUUUAAUUGCCUUGGCAAUGCUUAAUGUAUCUUAACACUUAGUUCAGAAAAGCAUGACCAGGUCAUAUGUUGUUUGACUUAAGGAUGACAUAGAAUAAGUUUCUCCAGUCUGCCAGAUAAAGCUCAGUAGUGGGAGGGGACUCAGACCUCUCCCCUUUGUGUUUGUCUGUAGAAACUGAUAAGAAAACUUUUGUGGGGUUUUUGUUUGUUUGUUUGUUUAAGUGUAAACUGAUAAUCUUUUAUAAGAAGUAAAUAGAAACAUUAUUGGGUGCCUUUGUUUGUAAACCAAAAAGUAAUAAAUGAAUCCCUAUAUUUCUAUUAUAGCAUCUAUUGUAUUUUUACAUUGUAGAAACCGUCCGUGAGUUAAAAUGGCUACAAUGACAGGAAGUAGUCCUUGAAUCUUUUUUUUCUUAGGUGUCCUCAUCUAUUCUCACCAUCUUUUUAUUUAUGUCUUGAGUUGUUCACACAGCACUUUAGGGGGAAGCAUAUAGGCAGAAUGAACAUUUAUUUUAAAGUAUUUUUAUAUAGUAAUUAAUAAUGAGGCAGAUUUCUGUUUUGUUUUUUAAUGUAAAUAGAGCCCGGAGACCACCAGUGUGUUCCUAAGAUGAAUGGCAUUGUGUUAGUUUAUAGGUUCUUCGCCAGUAAUUGAUCUGACUUCAUUUAAAGGGUUAUUCAUUCUCAUAGAGAUUCAGUGAAGCACUUGGGGGAGUGUGGCAGGAUGGGGUUGGAGUGUAAUUGGCUUUGUAAGCAUUCCUUUCUAGGCUGACUUCCAGCUCUGCCUUGAAACCGUUUGCACUGACUUGCUCUGCUUUAAGAAAAACAUUCUAACUUUGCAUGAGAAGCUUAGAGAAAAGGAUAUGUGCUGCGUAACUUAUUACAAAAAUGAGUUCAUCAGUCUGUUUAUAUAUGAAAUAUUUUCUUAAUAAAGAAAAUUUGAGCAACAUU
Molecule: long non-coding RNA, 4287 nt
Filed under: Rattus norvegicus (Norway rat)
Lineage: Eukaryota; Metazoa; Chordata; Mammalia; Rodentia; Muridae
Description: long non-coding RNA NONRATT001121
Source: RNAcentral